RNAcentral lists this long non-coding RNA (3120 nucleotides) under Sus scrofa (pig). RNAcentral describes it as "lncRNA (ENSSSCG00005022710.1)". The record is from RNAcentral. Lineage: Eukaryota; Metazoa; Chordata; Mammalia; Artiodactyla; Suidae.
AAUAAAAAAUUUAGGAUAGGCACAGGCACUAAUGGGAAAUUUAAAAAUAUUGGCAGAUUUUUUAUACUUGUUGAAGGUACAUUGGGGUUUGUUACUAUUUUCUGUACGUUUGUGUGUAUUUGGAAAUAUCCAUAAUAAUUAGUUAAAAUGCAUUACCAAUUAUAGCUGUAGAGGAUGAAAUUUAAUGUAGUAAAAUUAUGUGGUGGACAUUUGAGCAAAUUGACUAAUCAAAAAUUCUCCACUUUUCUAUAAGUUCUGCUUUUAGUGAACAGAUUUUAAGAAUAAGGAGGAUUUUGUGGAAAUGUGGUCACAAGAUUAAAAUUCUCUUUGAGAUGUGGUAAUGUUAAUUUCCUCUUUUGUCUUUUAUCUUCAGGGCAAGAUAAGAGUUGCCCAUUUCACAGAUGAGGAAACUAAGAUCUUAGAGAGACUAACUAGUUUAUGCCAAUCCCUCAGCAAGUAAGAAGUGGCAGUGGGACUGGAGCCGAGACCUUGACUCAUUCUCAGGUGCCCAUUCUCUUUUCUACACAUACUUCUUUUUGUUUUUGUUUUGUUUUUUUUUUUUUUUGUCUUUUUGCCAUUUCUUGGGAACUUCCACAUGUCACAGGUGCAGCCCUUAAAAAAAAAAAAAAAAAAUUUAUCAAGGCCUCAAAGAUCUUUUGUUUAUAUUGACUAUAUCUAAACACUAUUUGACCUAUUAGAAAUUAAAACUGGGAAAUGUUUACAGUACUUAUUUAAAAAUAACAAACUUGUUAAGAGUUAACAUAAAUAGCAUAGUUUUAGGAAAAAGGUAUUCCAAAACAAAAAAUGCAGUGAGAGGCAUGAGAUGAUUUUACAUUUUGCCACUCUCCCUAAUGGAUUGCUUAGUAGAAAACAGCUGGAUUUUCAUAACUGCUUUUUAUAGUCAGUCUGUUGUGAUAUGUUUUGUUUGAAGUAUAGAAGAAAAUCCGGCUAUACAUAGUAUUUCAGUGUCUUCUUCAUGUAGUUGUGAAUAUUCUUUGAUGUUUCAAAACCCAGCAAGCAGUGGAUUCUUGGGUUAGUCGCAAUGUUGAAUCUGAAACCUUAUUAAUGAAUUCCUUGUACUCUAACGUAAACGUCUAUUGGUCCAUCUUGCACUUUGGAUGGAUCUUUCAUCUGUGUGUGAUUUUAUAACAUCGUACAUUGGUCAUUUGAAAAAUAAUGAUUUACUGAGUUCUGUAGAUCUUUCAAAUAUUUGACUCAUUUGAUUACACAGUAUUUGACAAACCACAUUCAUUAAUAUGACCAUUAACCUUAUCCAGAAAGUCUCUAAGAAGUGGGAAGCAAUCAAGAUUUUGGCAUCCAGUUCAGGUUUUCCAAAAUUCUGAUUUUUUUUUUUCUUGAAAGCUCUCAUUUUAUCAUCAGCAGAUAUUGUCAGUUUUUUCCUUGAAGUGUCAGGCUCACACUUUAUUUUAGAGAAAGUGUCUGCCAGGUACCUAAGUCUGAAUAACUAUAAAUUAUCUCCCAGUCAUUCUUUUAGCAAAAAUGGUAUUCUUGAAAAAGUAUAUAGUUGAGCUCACAACUCUAUUGCAUAAAUGCUUUUUCUCAAGACACCUGUCGUAUUAGAUACGCAGAAAUGCUUUUUGUGUGUCUCCCAUUUCAUCACACAGAUUAUUAAAAAUACCAAGUUCUCAAGAAUAAAAUUUAAUAAAGUUAAUAACUUUUAUUGUUUUAUCAAGGUCAUUGUAAUUCAAAGCUGGCUUUUUAGAAACGAUUGAAAGCCAGUGAAGGAUACAGUUUUUGCUAGUACAGUUUUGUACCCCAACCUUGACUCAUGCUAAAGUGUUAGCAGUUUUGCCCUCCAUUGCUUUUGUACCAAUAGAGCAGAUCUCAACAUGGUUGUUUCAGAAUAAAUCAUGAGUUUCAAAAGUUCAUCAUUGCAGGAUUUGAGCCUCAUCUUCAACCUACACCACGGUUCAUGGCAAUGCCAGAUCCUUAACCCACUGAGCGAGGCCAGGGAUCGAACCUGCAUCCUCAUGGAUCCUACUUGGGUUCAUUAACCACUGAGUCACGAAGGGAACUCCCAAAAGUUAUGUAAUACUUUGAGUAAUUCAGCAGCUUUUGUAUUUGUUGUCAAGCACUCACAUAAAAGAAGACCUUCGCUGAUAAGUUGGUGUGGAUACUGCAUUAAUAAAAACAAAACAGUAAGUCCACACAUGUCUGCAGAUUUGUCUGCUUAUAAAGCAAAACUACAGUCCUUUAGGUGAGGUAAUAACUUGUAGAUAUUACCAUUUGAUGUAAUGAGCUACUGCAUCAUUGGCAAGUGGCAUUGCUAAUUUCUCUUACUGACUUUUCAUUCAGCAGAUAUUCAGCAGUGCCAGCCACGCAAAGGUUUAUUAGUUGCUCAGCUAUCUUGUACGCUGCUCCAACUGAUGCCUUCUGAUAAUUUACGUGGCAUGAUGCUUCUGUGGCUUUUUCAUUUCUAAUUUGGAGACAGUCUUUGGCUUUCUAAAGAGUUCAUCAUGUCAGUGUUUAAAACAUUCGAUUUCUUUUUCUUUAAAUCUACAAUGAAUUCAUUGGAUGAUAACAAGGUGGAAAUUAUAGCAGAUACAACCAAAGAUUACUACUGCUAGGAACGUACGUACGGGUGCUGAAAACACACGGAGUUAAUUUCUGAAAACAUGCACAUUUAUACCUUAAACUUGCUUUCCUAGAACAUUUUAAAUACAAGACUGUACAAGCAUGUGUUUCAUUAGCUGUCAGAAUGAUACAUUAUCGUCACAUAGCGUGGAUUCACCAUUGUGAAGAAGGCAGAUAACAUCUUUGUAUUACUAAAAAUUGUUUUGACAUUGUAGAUUCCCUGAAAAGCUCUCAGAUUCCCCCCAGGGGUCUCUGGAUUACACUUUGAAAAUGCUGAUAUAAGAGUUCCUGUUGUGGCUUAACGGAAACGAACCCAACUAGUAUCCAUGAGGAUGCGGGUUCAAUCCCUGUACCCACUCAGUGGAUUAAGGAUCUGGCGUUGCCUUAAGCUGCAGUGUAGGUUACAGAUGCUGCUCCAAUCUGGUGUGGCUGUGGCAUAAGCUGGCAGCUGCAGCUGUGAUUUGACCUCUAGUCCAGGAACUGCCAUGUGCCACACCUGCAGCCCUUAAAAAAAAAAAAAAAAAA